Camelus dromedarius (Arabian camel) is the source of this 74-nucleotide non-coding RNA. The record is from the annotation of a RefSeq genome assembly. Lineage: Eukaryota; Metazoa; Chordata; Mammalia; Artiodactyla; Camelidae.
GGGAGGGUCCAGCCCAGCGGUGGGGUGCGUGCUUCGCAUGCACGAGGUCCUGGGUUCAAUCCCCAGCCCCGCCA